AUACUUUCAAUAUCAGAUCCUAUUGCUAACUGGCCAUUGGCCUAUGUUUCCCUAUUUAGAUUUCAAAGAGUAUGGUCAUGUUAAUCUUUAUAUACGAGGCCUCAGUGCAGAUUCUUGGUCAACAUAUGGAUUUGCUGUCCAUUAGUUGGAAUCCUCUCUUUGGGUGACUGGCUGGAGCAAGGAGGAAAGAAGUGGUGGUGUCAAUGAGUCAAGCUGAACAACAGUUGUCAUUGGCUGGCCAGUAUCUCUCAGAAUGAAAUAUGGAUAUUGGAGUCCUGUGACUGACCUUGCUGUGAAAAAGCUGUUGCAGAUGCAUAAUCAAUUUAAUUUCCAGAUGAAAAUGGAUAGUCUUUUGGAUUUUCCGCCUAACAUACAGCAGUUAAUGGGUAGCAACCUGCCUUUCUCCCUGAAUGAGGCAUCAUGCAGCAUUAAUUACUGCUGGCAGGCAUCCAACAACCAGGAGGGAAGUCAGGCUGGGGAGAAAGUUAACACCGAUUAAAGAGGAGCAGAGCAAACCACAGGAAAAUGGACCCAGCGCUCUGAUGGAACUAUGCCUAAAUUACCCUGGAGUUUUUAGUUAUUCUUUAAGCCAACUUGAGUUUGAUUUUUUUUGUCGCCUUUAAUUGAAAACAUUCUAAGAUUCAAGGACAAAAUUCUAAUAAGAUUAUUGUCAAAACAGAGGGAAGUCAUGCCAUAAAAAGGAAGUUUAGAGGAACUUGGAAAGACAAAAUUUUAAGGGUUGUAUAAAUUGUUUAGUUCAGUCCCAUGGAAGAGGGAGCGAAUUGUUGCUACUGUUUGAGAAUUCAAAACUAGGGCUGUUGCUGCAAAGUUCUGGGAAGACAAAUUUUGAUUCAACAUAAGUCACUGAGAAAUACUCUUUUGAGAACAUUUCUAAUUUUUCGAGACAUUCCAUUGUAGAAAGAGUUGUUUGCCAAUUACUGGAAGUGCUAAAACAAAGAAUAAUGAACCAUCUGUAAGUUCUAUUCAGCCCCGAGAUUUCAUGGUAUUUUGCCAUCCUUCAUUAUUUAAAUGUAGGUAAGGUAGUUACUUGUUUAAAAGAGUUUGAUUUCUGUCUUUGCCUCCCCAUCUAACCUGAGAGAUGUUUUCCUCAUCUGAAGAGUGAAUGGGUUGGAAUACAUGGUUUCUAAUACUGUUUCUACAGCUCUAAAUUGUUUUGCUACCCAAGAGAAAUGGUUGGUAGUAUGGAAGCAAGGCUCUUGGCCUGCUAUUUCUCAAGAUAAUAGUAAAAACCUAAAAGAAGAUAAUAGUAAAAAUCUAAAAAUGAAAAAUUAGAAUAGCAGCUUCAAAUUAAUCACAUUCCUUCUCAAAGUUAGAAUGAGGGAUUGCCUUGGGAAAUGCUACUCAGGUCUAAUUCCUGAAGAUAUUAUGUGCAUAUUUCAGAAAUGGAAGGUUCUAUUGAGUGAAUUAUCAAAAAUUCAAUCACUUAACAAGAAUUUAUUGAGCAGUUAUGUUCCCCAGCUUGUGCUAAACACUAUGAUAAAGAAAAUCUUACCUGUCUGGCUUUGUCUAAGGUGGAAAGUAUAUCGUAAGUUUUCAGUAUAGAACAUUCUCUGUUAUACAGAGGCCACAUAACACCUUCCUAAUCUUUUGCGUUUAGUACUAAAUUCAGGAUAUCGCCAAGGUUCUCUGUAUAGAAAAGAAAAGAGAGAAGAAAUAAAAGUAUCAUUCUAAGUGGUUAUUAGAUUGUU
This 1709-nucleotide long non-coding RNA is filed under the name Piliocolobus tephrosceles (Ugandan red Colobus). RNAcentral describes it as "lncRNA (ENSPTEG00000035317.1)". Lineage: Eukaryota; Metazoa; Chordata; Mammalia; Primates; Cercopithecidae. The record is from RNAcentral.